Molecule: ribosomal RNA, 253 nt
Filed under: uncultured bacterium
Lineage: Bacteria
Description: partial 16S ribosomal RNA
Rfam family: Bacterial small subunit ribosomal RNA
Source: RNAcentral
UACGUAGGUCCCAAGCGUUGUUCGGAUUCAUUGGGCGUAAAGGGUGUGUAGGUGGCGCCGUAAGUGGGGUGUGAAAUUUCGGAGCUUAACUCCGAAACUGCAUUCCAUACUGCGGUGCUUGAGGACUGGAGAGGAGACUGGAAUUUACGGUGUAGCAGUGAAAUGCGUAGAGAUCAUGAGGAAGACCAGUGGCGAAGGCGGGUCUCUGGACAGUUCCUGACACUGAGGCACGAAGGCCAGGGGAGCAAACAGG